AUGUACAAAGAGCCAAUUAACAUUUGAUUGCAUAAGACAUUUUGAAAUUUGAUCAGGCACAAAGUAAUUGUAAAGACGAUACUUGUUAUUUUUUAUAAACUCUCAUUUUGUGCAUCCAAACUAACGAUAAUACAAUUUCUAGUUAAAUCAAUUAUUUUUAAUUUAAUUUUUAAUCUAAUCUUAGAUUCAUUAAAAGUUUCUUUUUGUAUUAAAGGAAUAUCUUCUUUCGUUUCUCUUAAGAUAAUUUUAAAUCUAAUUUUACUUUUAAUUUAUCAAAAACUUUUUUUCUAUCAAAUUAAUAUCUUCUCUUGUUUCCAGACACCGCGCGGCAAUAAUAUUUUUUUAUACCACGGAAACACGACUUUUACAUGCGCGGAAAAUUGAUAUCGUAUUGUACACAAAUCAUGCACAAAUCAUAUUGUAAAUGUACUUCAUCGAGACACGUGCAAGAUGAAUAGUUUGUAUAUACGAGAGGAAUGUUAGAGACGAUAAGAAUCGUCCAAAGAAAAAAAGGAGGACAUAAGAGCGUCGCCUUGUACAGGUGAUCUGAAAACGAGUCAGAGAAAUAAGUUGAACUAUUGAUAAAGAUACGAGAGAACCUUGCGAACAAAAUCAUGUUACACCGAAUGCUCGUGCUCGAACUGCCCGAUAGUCUUUAUUUCGUUUGAACAGAUAGCAUCGAACGGGAUCAGAGCGGAAACAAACAUUUGCGGACAAAAGGCGAACAAAUUCAAUAUUCUCUCUCGCCUCUGGAAAAGGAAGAAAAGAGCCGUGUGAAAAGAGCGCGUCCUAUGAAAAUUACAAAUACAUCAAAAUUUUCUACGAGAUUUUACCGAAGUAAUCGAAAUUUUCCCGGACUUACUUCUAAAAGAAAGUAAAAAAAAAAAAAGAAAUUCCAUAAACGCGCAUCAUCGAAAUUUUAAGUCGACAGGAUGAAAGUAAUGAGAGAUAUCCCGAGGAUACGUUCUACGUAUACUCAAGUAAUAUCUUCUUCGAGGAUCCUCUUACUCGUACAACAACAACUAAUUAAGGGACGAUUAAUUUCUCUAAAUUAACUAUCCACUGACGCAGAUCAACCUCGAUGACAUAUGUAAAUAAGUCGGCGAAUAUGUUUUUUUGAAAUUAUAUUUUGCCAAGUGAGUUUGCAUGAGACGAGAGCUACUUAUACACGAUUGUAGUACAUGGAUCGGAGCAAAUAGGCAACCUGUUGCUGAUUCACCGGCACUCACGGUUGAUGGACCCGGUAAUCCGUGUUUUACGUAUAUUGAGCCGAGCGUUAUAUACAGGAAGAAAGAUAGGCGGGGUGAUGCCGGAAGUAAAAUUUGUUUGAAUAAAACACGCCCGACUAAGUCUCGGGG
Molecule: long non-coding RNA, 1358 nt
Organism: Pogonomyrmex barbatus (red harvester ant)
Lineage: Eukaryota; Metazoa; Arthropoda; Insecta; Hymenoptera; Formicidae
Source: RefSeq, a predicted model, not a curated record